RNAcentral lists this microRNA (22 nucleotides) under Petromyzon marinus (sea lamprey). Its description in RNAcentral is "pma-miR-4571-5p". Lineage: Eukaryota; Metazoa; Chordata; Hyperoartia; Petromyzontiformes; Petromyzontidae. The record is from miRBase by way of RNAcentral.
AUGGAAUAUAUGUACACACAGG